Long non-coding RNA from Fukomys damarensis (Damara mole-rat), 973 nucleotides. RefSeq lists it as uncharacterized. The record is from RefSeq and is a predicted model, not a curated record. NCBI's taxonomy places the organism in Eukaryota, Metazoa, Chordata, Mammalia, Rodentia, Bathyergidae. The transcript has 4 exons.
UUGGCUGCUAUUUUUGUUGUUCUUACAGGACUUUCUUAUUUGUCUGGAAGUAUUUGUGGUCGCGAUUGCCCAAAAUUACCUUUUCCCUUAUAAACCUUACGUGCGGAGUCAGGAAGAAGGCUCAUGUUUCAAAUCUUUCUUGGCCAUGAGGAACUUCUCAGAUGCUACAGACGAUGUCGCUGAACAGAUUAGUCAUAUGGGUACAAGUACCAGCCAUUCAACUCUUUCAAGAUGCACCAUCUGUGGACAACACAAACGAAAAAAUCACACUGAGGGUCAGGAUGAAAAAAUUCCCACUGGCGGUCAGGAUGAGAAAUAAAACUCACCUUCCUUACCACCAACCUCUGAAGAUGGCUUUUCUUGUGUCUCUUCUCUGCCACGUGCUGUGACACAUCACACUGCACACACUGUGAUCAACAUGCCUGAGGAAAUGGUUGGUGAAACUGCAGGAGCAAAAAAGUGUGAAUAUAUUGCCCUUACUAUACCAGAUGAAGUGGUUAGUGACAGCCCAGAUGACACUUCGGAGACGGGAGAAGAGGAAGCGGUGAAGGAGGUAGAUGAGUGAGGGGUGCCGGCCUCAGGCCCGGGGAGUGCACAUCCUGGGCCCAAGUGGACACCCCGGACCUGAGUGCCUCUGCAGGGCCCCGUGAGGACCCUUUUCACACAGGAAAUUGUGAUGAUAUUGAAAACAUAGCAGGAGAAAUGGAAGGAACUACUCCAGAGGAAGUCACUGAAUACUCAGCUUUUACUAUUCUAUAGCUGUGUUCUGGGAAAGAUACAGUGAACUUCAGGGCUCAGAUUGGAAGGGGAGAGGCAAGAAUCCAAAGUAUCAAAAAACACUUGAGCUCCUGGACUGCGCGACAACAGACCCAGCAAGGACCCAAAGACCCCAGAGGGAGUCUUUUCAGCUGCAUGCCUGUAAAAAACAUUUUUCAUAUUGAUCAUGCUUUAUUAGCAAUUAUUGGAAAAUGUG